This 406-nucleotide ribosomal RNA is filed under the name uncultured bacterium. RNAcentral describes it as "partial 16S ribosomal RNA". It matches the Rfam family "Bacterial small subunit ribosomal RNA", at positions 30 to 526 of the family's 1533-position model. The record is from RNAcentral.
AUUGAACGCUGGCGGCAUGCUUUACACAUGCAAGUCGGACGAGUGGCGAACGGGUGAGUAACGCAUCGGCACGUACCGAGUCAUGGGGGAUAACUGUCCGAAAGGAAAGCUAAUACCGCAUACUAUUCGAGCGGCCGAUGUCUGAUUAGCUGGUUGGCGGGGUAUAGGCCCACCAAGGCGACGAUCAGUAGCGGGUCUGAGAGGCUGAUCGGCCACAUGGGGACGGAGACACGGCCCAGACGCCGACGGGAGGAAGCAGUGGGGAAUUUUGGACAAUGGGCGCAAGCCGGAUCCAGCCAUGCCGCGUGUCUGAAGAAGGCCUUCGGUUGGUAAAGGACUUUUGUCAGGGAAGCGGUACCUGAAGAAUAAGCACCGGCUAACUACGUGCCAGCAGCCGCGGUAAUAC